AGCGUUAGUGUCUGUGUGGUGAGGUGGUAGUGGCUGGCGCGGAGCAAGUGGAACCAUGUGACAUUGUAUUCUCUUAUUUCGCCAAUUGAUAGUGCUUAAUCUUUAAGGAUACCCAAAGACCACAGUGUGAUAUAUGUCACAUGUAGUUAUUGAGCAUUUGGGUAGGUUGCACAUUCAUGCGGUGGGAGAUGACAUGUUAACAAAAACUGGCAGAAGUUAGGUGAUAACGAUAGAAUAUCCCGCCAAGGUUGUGCAGCGGUGCUUCACCUGGUACAAAGCAUGAGCGAGCACAGCUAGACCUUGUGUCGCUGAGUGGCCUGAGUGGUGUGUGAGGCCAGCCGUGUGUGUGUGUGAAAGAGAGUGUGGUGUGGGCGUGAGGCUUUGGUGUGACAAUGGCCAGCACUACGGGCGGCGGCGGCGGCUCCGCAAUGGAUGCCCAGCUCGUGGCCCUCCUGGACAAGUUGGAAGGCCUUCGGCAGGAGGUUGGCCCUCCUCCUAGGCUGUCCAUGAUUGCUGAAGUGCGCACCCUAGAGCUAUGGCGCGCGGUGAUCGCCGAGUGCCUGGCCACGGUGUUCUAUGUGUUCCUGGUGUGUGGCGCCUACAGCCCCUGGACCGGCAAGGUGUUGACGCAGGACGGGCAGCUGACAGUGGCCUUGGUGGCAGGUUUCACCAUGGCCAUCCUCGUCCAUAGUUUUGGCCAGGUUUCCGGGGGCCACAUCAAUCCUGCUGUCACGGUCUCUCUGGCGGUCACCCGGCAUGUGUCUCCUCUGCGCGCCGCUAUGUUCGUACUGGCGCAGCUUGGGGGCGGGAUAGCCGGUGCAGCGCUGCUCUAUGGGGCGACGUCAUCUGGCUACACGGGUGACCUGGGAGCCACCUCGGUGUCACAAGUCAUCACCCAGUGGCAAGGUCUGGGUCUGGAGUUUCUCUUAACCUUCGUGGUGGUCUUCGUGUUCUUUUCUUCCGUCAAUCCCUACCGCAGGAGCUUCGGAAACCCCUCCGUCGUGAUUGGGUUCGCCUACAUGGCCUGCACGCUCGUAGGGCUCCCCCUCACUGGUGCCUCCAUGAACCCAGCACGCUCCCUCGGGCCAGCCUUCGUCAAGAACAAGUGGGACGCUCAUUGGGUGUACUGGGUGGCUCCUUUGGUGGGCGGCAUGACGGGAGGCCUCAUCUAUGAGUACAUCUUCAAUCCACACAGAGUGCCGCGCUCCCGCAAGGAUUCCAUGGAUGGAGAUUCUUCAAGUGUAGGGAGUGAUGAAGAUCCAUACGAUGAAUGCUCCAAGCCUCCACCUCGGUAUAAUUACAAUGCUCUUCAUGCCCAAAACUACGACCAGUACCGCCCUGCCAAUACCUCCAACACCACUUCUCCCUUAGGAUAUCCAGCAAGUAUGUAUGAACACAACGGAGCAACUUCAGUUUGUAAUGCAUCAGCAUACAAGUAUGACAAUGGUUAUGUCAAAGAUGAUAUUUACUCAGGAUCAAAGAGUUUAUACACUAAAUCACCACCCUUGCCAAGAUCAUCAUCUCUAAACCGCUCCCAGUCAGUGUAUGCCAAGCCUCCACCACCUCGCAUGGACAACUACAACAGGAACCUCACUCACUCUCAAAGCCUGUGUCCCAAAUCAGCCACAGAUUUCUCCACCCUUCCUCACACAGAUAACAUGUACAAAAGCAACCCUCGGAGGGACACCCUUUAUGUCACAAGUAAGUCUGGGAUUGUGAAACCAGAGCCAGUGUAUGGAACAUCUUACAACAAACAAAAUGAUUCUGGAGAUUCAAACUACUCCACUUAUCGAGGCACAGCAAGUUAUAGUUCAUCCCGUUCCUCAAAUCCAGGACCACCAGUUCCCAUGAGUCGAACACGUACUGACAAUCUCACUCCAAAUUCGGUUGCUUCCGCUCAUUCAAGUCUUGUUACUCCUAACUCAGCAGGCUUGUGUUACUCUCCAAAUCCUCAAUAUUAAGAAGAGGACAAACAAUUUCACACCAGAAUUCUGCCUUGAACAAUUGGGAAUCAUAACUCUUGGAUAAUUGCUAAUGCUUUGCAUUCUGUUGGCCAAAUGGAAAAAAAUAUUGAAUAUGUGUAAAGCCCAUUUAUUGGUGUUUUAUUUUACUUUAUAUCUUAUUUAGAAGACUUACUUAUUAGUAUUUGUAUUUUUCAUCUUUUAUUUAAUGGUGUGUACUAAGAACAUAAAGUGCUUCCAUUAUUUAAAUGUUUCAGGGCUUUCCAAAAAUAAUUAUAGCUUUAAGACAUAAUCCCUGAUUAAGACAUUUAAAUAUGACUAUAAAUAAAGUAUACAACUUUUUUCAUCAGUAUAAUUCAAUACUUCUUUCUAUAUUUAAUGUAGUACCUCCCAAGCUUGAUAUGAACUUUGUUUGCAAACUAAUAUAGAAACAAUUGGAAUUUACUAGUAAAUUAGAAUGGAUACUGUCAUGUGAAUGUGUCAAGAUUAUUUAUAUAUAAUAACAUUUCACCACUUGCUAGAAUAGAAGAAUCCAGUAAGUCAGGUGUAUUAACAGUUCCAUGGUUGCCCAGUUGCACUUUUUGCAAUUUCAAGCAGCGUUGUGUGUGUGUGUGUGUGUGUGUGUGUGUGUGUGUGUGUGUGUGUGUGUGUGUGUGUGUGUGUACAUAUAUGUAUUCAGAAUUUAAUUAUGCUUAAGGUGUCUCGAUCAUAUUUCUUCACAUGAAAGAAGCAUGUUCCUUUUAAAAGUAUGACAUGUGAUGUUUUGACAAACAGAUGGUAAACACUAAGUAAUGUAUGAACAAAUGUAUGUUUCUACUUGUAUAUAUUAAUGCCAAUUCUCAUUAUCACUUUGCCAACACUGGCAAAUGUUACAAGCUGUGUGUGUUUUACUUUGUUGUAAAGACAAAUCUUAGCUAAUUAUACAAAUGAUUUUGAAUGCUCAUCUUCUUGAGAUAUUUGUGCAGUCUACUUCUUACAUAAAGUAUAAAUUUGAGAACAAUUACAAACAAGUAAGUCUUGUUAUAUAUAAAGUUAUAUGUUAGAUAUGUUUUCUUGAGAAUUAUUCAAUAAUUGUAAAUAGUAGGUAUGAUUUAUAACAACCCAACUUGCUUCUGAGUGUACUUGUAAGAAAAAACAUGAAAGUGUUUCACGGUCAAAUUGGUCUAAACCAUAGGCAUUUAAAAAAUAUAUUAAAUCAAAUUAAUAAAUUAGAUCAAAAGAUAUUUUUUAUCAGCUGGAACUGAAUGCUAAGGUGGAGAACACCCAUUCAUCUCGGCAAAUAAAGUUGAUUUCAGCCCUAAAGUUGAGUAUGAUACAAUACAUAUACACAAUUUAUAUUUUUCAGAUCUUCAUUUCAUCAUCCAUAUAUAUAUAUAUAUAUAUAUAUAUAUAUAUAUAUAUAUAUAUAUAUAUAUAUAUAUAUAUAUAUAUAUACACACACACACACACAGUAAACCCUACUUAAAUUGGACCUGAAUAAACUGGAUAUAAUUUUUUUUCUCUCUCUCUCUCUCCUCUAUCCAGAGUGCAUUGGUUGUCAUGUUCUAUCCCUAGUUUCAAUAAUCUUAAGCCACUAAGCCUAUAUACUGGUUAAAAUAUCCCUAAUACCUCUUACAUUGUCAGUGUCAUUUGAGUUGUCUGAGCUGUUAAGAGACAUGAAAAAGGUGUAUGCCUCAGUACUGCCAGUGCCAAGAUCAGUGUUUACACAGCUGACUUAGCAAGCGCACCACAGUGUCUCCCUCAGUUUUCACUCACUCUGUAGUUCUUAUUGUUGCCUUUGUAAAUGCAUGCGAAAUGUGAAGAAAAAAAAAAAAAAAUCCUUGAGUAACUGAUUUCUAGAUAAUUUGGAUUGGCCUCCCCCCAAUAGGUCCAACUUAUGCUAGGAUUUACUUUAUACCUAUUUGUUAGCAAGACCUACUUGUAUACAUAUUACAAGAAAAAAUUUCUCCAUUUAAGUGAAAACUUUUUUCAUCUAUGAUCAUUAAUAUUCUUGUUAUUAUUAUUAUCAUUAUUAUUUUUAGAAUACCUUAGUAUCCAAAUAAUGCUUUUGUAAUAGCCAGCCAAAAGUAGUUAUGAUGUAUAUACUGUAAAUCCUGGGGGAGUCAAAAAUUAUCGUGCUCCAAUUGAAGUGAGUAUGAAGCACUAACUACAAGGAUGUAUUAAUUAUAUCUUAUCGCACAAACAAAAUCCCUCUACCUCCUUGCACAUAACCCUGCCCAUGCUUGUGUGUGAGGACCACUGAGGGACAAAAGAGUGACUGAUCCACGGCCUGACGGUGGCAGUGCUACAUAUAACCAUUUAGCUCCUUCCAAAUCUUGAUAAAUAGUUUUCAUUUUUAAGUAACAGAUGGAAGAUUAUUCUUUAAUAUCACUGAACUAAUAACAGUAAAGUUUGUUAGGGGCAGUCACUACAUCCAUGAGGGUCACUCCUUUUAGUACAAGUUUUGUAGAAUUCUAUACUUAGGAUUUGUAUAAUUUAUUGCUUAUCAAUCAUCUUGACUGUCAUUAUAAGCAAAUCUAUAUUUAUAGUAUACAUAAUUGGAAUUCUCUGGUAGUCUGAGCUGGCAAUUAUGUUAUCUCUGUGUUGUUUUUAUUUUUGGAGAUCUGCAAUGUGGACCUGCUCAAACUCCUUGACUUAAAUUAUGAAUAUGUUGAUGUAAGAUGGUAAAUAAAUCAUUGUUAUUGUUAUUUUACUCUUGGUUUCCAUAUUAGUGAACCAUUUUCAUUGCCUUGUGCUUGUGAGAUUUGCUAUUGCCUCUUGCAAGGGUUUCUUCUUUAUUUUUUCCCCAAAAAAAUACCCAUAAUAUUCAGGAUUGACUAUUACACAAGUAUGCUUGGUGUUUUGGAAAUAUUCUUAUUAUAAUGUCUUUUCAGUACUUCUAUGUUUCAGUAUGUACAAAUAUGAAAUUUCAAUGGGCACUAAUUUUAUUUUUUGAGUGUAAAAUAGAUGCAGAAAUUUUUGUUUAUGUAAUAAGUGUGUAAAUAUACAUUCCAUCUCCUAGAAGUGAUUGGAAUUAAACUAUUGUUAAUUGUAUAGCAAACUAUUCUUAAUAUGCUUGACAUUGUGCUGAAAUUUAAUUAGUGAAGAGAAGAAUGGCAUGUAUGGGAUGAAAAUAAGAGGUACUAGAGAGUUUGAGUGUUAAUGGGGUGCAGAAAAAUGUAUGAUGUGCUUAAUUUUUCAUUGUUAUCCAAACAAAUGCCAAAUAUUUUUUUUAUAAUUUACUUUAAAUGCACAACUGAUAAUAUUGUAAAUUAAUAAAAAUUCAGAAGAAA
Molecule: unclassified non-coding RNA, 5233 nt
Filed under: Portunus trituberculatus (swimming crab)
Lineage: Eukaryota; Metazoa; Arthropoda; Malacostraca; Decapoda; Portunidae
Description: neurogenic protein big brain-like, transcript variant X3
Source: RNAcentral